This 415-nucleotide ribosomal RNA is filed under the name uncultured bacterium. RNAcentral's name for it is "bacterial SSU rRNA". It matches the Rfam family "Bacterial small subunit ribosomal RNA", at positions 355 to 786 of the family's 1533-position model. The record is from RNAcentral.
UCGGGAAUAUUGCGCAAUGGAGGAAACUCUGACGCAGUGACGCCGCGUGCAGGAAGAAGGUUUUCGGAUUGUAAACUGCUUUAGACAGGGAAGAAAAAGACAGUACCUGUAGAAUAAGCUCCGGCUAACUACGUGCCAGCAGCCGCGGUAAUACGUAGGGAGCGAGCGUUAUCCGGAUUUAUUGGGUGUAAAGGGUGCGUAGACGGGAAGAUAAGUUAGUUGUGAAAUCCCUCGGCUCAACUGAGGAGCUGCAACUAAAUACUGUCAUUCUUGAGUACUGGAGAGGAAAGUGGAAUUCCUAGUGUAGCGGUGAAAUGCGUAGAUAUUAGGAGGAACACCAGUGGCGAAGGCGACUUUCUGGACAGAAACUGACGUUGAGGCACGAAAGUGUGGGGAGCAAACAGGAUUAGAUACC